This 161-nucleotide ribosomal RNA is filed under the name Dendrobium compactum. RNAcentral describes it as "5.8S ribosomal RNA". It matches the Rfam family "5.8S ribosomal RNA". Rfam says of the family: 5.8S ribosomal RNA (5.8S rRNA) is a component of the large subunit of the eukaryotic ribosome. The record is from RNAcentral. Lineage: Eukaryota; Viridiplantae; Streptophyta; Magnoliopsida; Asparagales; Orchidaceae.
ACAUGACUCUCGACAAUGGAUAUCUCGGCUCUUGCAUCGAUGAAGAGCGCAGCGAAAUGCGAUACGUGGUGCGAAUUGCAGAAUCCCGUGAACCAUCGAGUCUUUGAACGCAAGUUGCGCCCGAGGCCAACCGGCUAAGGGCACGCCUGCCUGGGCGUCAA